GACGAACGCUGGCGGCGUGCCUAAUACAUGCAAGUAGAACGCUGAAGGAGGAGCUUGCUUCUCUGGAUGAGUUGCGAACGGGUGAGUAACGCGUAGGUAACCUGCCUGGUAGCGGGGGAUAACUAUUGGAAACGAUAGCUAAUACCGCAUAAUAGUAGAUGUUGCAUGACAUUUGCUUAAAAGGUGCAAUUGCAUCACUACCAGAUGGACCUGCGUUGUAUUAGCUAGUUGGUGGGGUAACGGCUCACCAAGGCGACGAUACAUAGCCGACCUGAGAGGGUGAUCGGCCACACUGGGACUGAGACACGGCCCAGACUCCUACGGGAGGCAGCAGUAGGGAAUCUUCGGCAAUGGACGGAAGUCUGACCGAGCAACGCCGCGUGAGUGAAGAAGGUUGUCGGAUCGUAAAGCUCUGUUGUAAGAGAAGAACGAGUGUGAGAGUGGAAAGUUCACACUGUGACGGUAGCUUACCAGAAAGGGACGGCUAACUACGUG
This 495-nucleotide ribosomal RNA is filed under the name uncultured bacterium. RNAcentral's name for it is "partial 16S ribosomal RNA". It matches the Rfam family "Bacterial small subunit ribosomal RNA", at positions 28 to 507 of the family's 1533-position model. The record is from RNAcentral.